This 542-nucleotide ribosomal RNA is filed under the name uncultured bacterium. Its description in RNAcentral is "bacterial SSU rRNA". It matches the Rfam family "Bacterial small subunit ribosomal RNA", at positions 8 to 512 of the family's 1533-position model. The record is from RNAcentral.
AGGGUUUGAUCCUGGCUCAGAUUGAACGCUGGCGGUAUGCUUAACACAUGCAAGUCGAACGGCAGCGCGUCCACCCACUGAAUGGCCUUAUAUAGGCUGUUGAGUGGGUGGAUGGCGGCGAGUGGCGGACGGGUGAGUAAUGCGUAGGAAUCUACCUCAAAGCGGGGGAUAACUCGGGGAAACUCGAGCUAAUACCGCAUAAUCUCUACGGAGCAAAGCCGGGGACCUUCGGGCCUGGCACUUUGAGAUGAGCCUACGUCAGAUUAGCUUGUUGGUAGGGUAAUGGCCUACCAAGGCGACGAUCUGUAGCUGGUCUGAGAGGACGAUCAGCCACACUGGGACUGAGACACGGCCCAGACUCCUACGGGAGGCAGCAGUGGGGAAUAUUGGACAAUGGGCGCAAGCCUGAUCCAGCAAUACCGCGUGNGUGAAGAAGGCCUUCGGGUUGUAAAGCACUUUCAGUAGUGAAGAAAGGCUCAAGGCUAAUAUCCUUGAGAGUUGACGUUAACUACAGAAGAAGCACCGGCUAACUCUGUGCCAGC